Molecule: long non-coding RNA, 2673 nt
Filed under: Homo sapiens (human)
Lineage: Eukaryota; Metazoa; Chordata; Mammalia; Primates; Hominidae
Description: non-protein coding lnc-A1BG-1:7
Source: RNAcentral
GAUGCCCCUUAGGUUGCGGGCAACCAGAGGCCUCACUCGUGGGCAGGAAGCAAGGGCGGACCCCGAGAGAUGACUGAUUGUGGGGGUGGGGACCGUCUGCUCCUCCUAAUGGCUGGGGACCGUGCACGUCUGCGCGGGCCGGACCUGCUCUUCUCGGGAACUUGCGCGGGAGGAGGCCCGGAGCUGCGCCGCUUUACCCUCUGCUCCCCGGUGCCUAAAACGCACACGCAUCAAAGUCACAGGACGAGUUAGAGGAGAAAGGCAGAGGGAGAUUUGAAACACAGAGGAGGUGAUGAGAAGACACAGCAGAAGAUAUCUGAAGACUGGAAAGAAUGCUGCAACCAACAGGAGAAGGAAAAGACAGAAAUGUGUUUUCCAUUUGGAGCAUCCAGAGGGAGCACAACCAUAUCAACACCUUGAUUUUGAUCCAGUGACAUUGAUUUUGGACUUGUGGCCUCCAGAACUUUUAGAGAAUAAAUUUGCAUUGUUUUAAGCCAACAGGUUGGUGGAAAUUUUUUACAGCAGCCACAGGAAGCAAACACAGACUCCUAACUGGUGCUUAGUCCUAGAAUAUCAGUUUCUGUUCCACUUCUGGAUCUCAUAAUUGCAUCUCAGACAUCAACACUGACUUCAUAUUCUUAAUGCACCAAUUCUACCAUUUCUUCAGGCUGCAAACAGAGAAAAACUUAUUUAAGCAUUCCAGAAUUGACCCAAUAGAAGACUCUCCAGAAAAGACUGCAUGGUCUCUGAAGCAGCAUGAUCAGCAUGACUGGCUGCAUCUGGGCUCCACCGUUUGCCACUUCAGACAGGUCCUUAGCCUCUUAGAGGUUCAUUUUCCUUGCUGUAGCCCGGAGUAAGAAUGUUUAGCCUACAAGAUUUAUUUUGAGGCAUCAAUGAAUCACUAUGUGAGCCUCACACAGUGUCUGGCACUGAUAUUACAAAAUAUGGUUGAUCUUGCCAUCCUUGUUAUUGUCCUGGUGGGGAUUCCUCUCUGUUGAAGAUACGGAGCCUCUAAAAAUGAGUGGCAGAGGCUCCCAGCUCAGGAUCCUUGUCCAGGUCCUAAAGAUCCUCCACUCUGCUUGUCACUCUGUUCAUUAUGUUUGCAUGGCCACCACGGUCAACACUACUGCGGCCUACCUCAAGUUCUCAUGCCUCACUCUCUGAGCUCAUGAGGACACAAGGAUCCUUUGGCAACACAUUAACUACACUCUGUGGCCAUCCCUUGACUUCUGAGAGGAUGUUUCCCUCCUCUCAAUCAAAAGCUCUCUUCCCUCCUGGGCAAGAUCCUUGCAUGCACCCAGCACCCUCACACCUGGUGCCCUCACACCCAGCACUCUCACACGUGGUGCCCUCACACCCAGCACCCUCACACCCAGCACCCUCACACCUGGUGCCCUCACACCCAGCACCCUCACACCUGGUGCCCUCACACCCAGCACCCUCACACCUGGUGCCCUCGCACCCAGCACCCUCACACCUGGUGCCCUCGCACCCAGCACCCUCACACCUGGUGCCCUCGCAACCAGCACCCUCACACCUGGUGCCCUCACACCCAGUGCCCUCACACCCAGCACUCUCACACUUGCACUGUCCUCAUCCCAACUCUGUGGUUCCUCUGGGGAAUCACUGUGGAAUCCCUCAUGGGAGGAUGUUUUCAAAAGAAACAACAGCCCAAUGAAGGGUAUUUGAGGAUGAGAAGCAGGAAAGAAGUCAGUGGGUGGCUGAGUUGUGUCCAGGUUUUGCGUGGCCAUGGAAAAUCAGGUGAAGGACAUUAAAUAUCUUGCAGUGGCUUCUCCAUUAGGAGCAUGAAAUGAGGAAAGGGGCUGUCCUCACAGGCCAGCCAAGAGGGAUGCCUAUGCCAAACAGAAAGACUGACAGUAAACAGAAUCCAGGAUGACAUGACUGAGGUAUGGUGUGCAGGGCAUGGCCCAGGGAGGAGGGUAGAUAAGUAAGCCUGGGUGCACCUUCAGAGGAAGAAAUAACAGAGGCUGCAGGCGAGAGAGUUACAAGGAAGGAGGAGCAGGAAGACACGAGAAAAAUUCAGAUAAACUCAACAUCUCCAGCCUGGGGGAAACGUGAGAGGGUGGUAUGAAGAUACACACGAUGCAUGUUGCUUAGUGAAAGCAGCCAGUCGGAAAAGGCUACGUAGUGAAUGACCCCAACUAUGACAUUCUGAAAAAGGCAAAACUAUGGAGACAGGAUAAAGAUCAGUGGUUGCCAGUGAGGCAGGAGAAUAGGGUCUGGGGGCAGGGAGCCUAAGGCUGAUUCAUGCUGACUUCAUGAACGGAAUCAAAAGGAAAACCCUAAAUUUCCAUGCCCACGUAACAAAAGGAUCAGAGGCUACUCCCUUUGCAACUCCCCCCAACUUUCUGUGUUGCAGAUGAAAAAUGGAAAGUGCCUCGGAUUGGUCCCCUCCUGCAACCAGUCAGACAUCUGCAUAGAGCGUAACUUUGUAACUUCACUUCAGCCUCUGCUUGGUCACCUUCCACAACCAAUCAGACUGGUCAUGGGCCACUAUUUCAUAGGGUGUAAACCAAGUGACCAAUGGGAAACAUCUAGAGGGUAUUUAAACCCCAGAAAAUUCUGCGACCAGUGCUUUUGAGCCUUGCUUGGGCCUGCUCCCACUCUGUGAAGUGCAUUUUUGUUUCAAUACAGCUAUGCUUUUGUUGCUUC